GUAUCAUUCAAGAAAAAGUAGGUAUCGUUAAAUAAGUAGUUUUUCAUGUGUAUAUGAAUGUUUGUACAACUUAAUUUUUAUACCCUUCGAAAGUUUGUACUUGUAAAUAUUAUGAGCGACACUAUCUGACAGCUUGUUUAAACUAUAAUAAUUUGUAAAAGAAAUGAACGUGAUUCUAUAACAAAAGCAGUAUGGCAACACUUUUUCAUCCCUUAUAUUCCUCAAAAAACUCAAAGGUUAGAGAGCCAUUGAGGGUGUUUUAAUUUAUGUAUGUGAUAAUAAUAAACACCUGCGACAGUAUUUCAACAUUUGCAGAUAUUACAAAUUCAUUAAUAAGCAAAUUAAGUGUUAAAUGUAUUCAAGUUAUAAUUUAUUUUGAUUAAGAAACUGCAUUUCUGGAAAUUAAAAACCAUGCAACAGAAAAGCCGAAAAUGAAGACAGGUAUAACAACGGGGGACGUCGGGAAUAGUUUGAUCAUCUACCAAUACGGCCCAUUAAAAAUAGCAAACAUGUACUAUUGUAAUUUAAUGAAAAAGUCGUGAAAAGUGAUGUCGGUAUAUCUUUUCUGUCGUUAAUAUAUUGUUUCUACCGGACCGAUCAUCAGCCUGUGCCAGCGAUACCUUCAGUAAAAAUUUAGUUAUAUUUCUGAGGAUGUGCAUAUUGUAAACAAAAUUUGAGCCAAAUCGAAUACAUAACAAUACCAUUAUAUCGAUAUGUUUACAGUUUAAAAA
This is a non-coding RNA of Bactrocera oleae (olive fruit fly), 731 nucleotides long. NCBI's taxonomy places the organism in Eukaryota, Metazoa, Arthropoda, Insecta, Diptera, Tephritidae. The record is from RefSeq and is a predicted model, not a curated record.